CAGGGCUGUCCCACGUCUCCUGUGGGGCCUUGUCUCCUCCAGGAAGCCCUCCCUGGACCCCCAGACCAGGUUAAGUCCCUGCAUGGCUUUGCCAAGCGGUGCCAUGUCUGCACCCGGGAUCUGAACCAGCGAACCCUGGGCCGCUGAAGCAGAACAUGAGAACUUAACCACUGUGCCACCGGGCCGGCCCCCCAUGUCUACCUUAAAACCUGUGCUGUGGGACCGUCUCCUGCCCUCCUCUCCAUCCCUUGGAUUCCAUUUGUGGCUCAAAGUUGACUUGAAUCCUGGUGGAGUUGCAAAGACUCACAUCCUCCUCGUACACCUG
This 325-nucleotide long non-coding RNA is filed under the name Equus caballus (horse). Its description in RNAcentral is "lncRNA (ENSECAG00000050497.1)". Lineage: Eukaryota; Metazoa; Chordata; Mammalia; Perissodactyla; Equidae. The record is from RNAcentral.